This 253-nucleotide ribosomal RNA is filed under the name uncultured bacterium. RNAcentral's name for it is "partial 16S ribosomal RNA". It matches the Rfam family "Bacterial small subunit ribosomal RNA", at positions 524 to 776 of the family's 1533-position model. The record is from RNAcentral.
UACAGAGGUCUCAAGCGUUGUUCGGAUUCAUUGGGCGUAAAGGGUGCGUAGGCGGCGCGGUAAGUCGGGUGUGAAAUCUCGGAGCUUAACCCCGAGCCUGCAGUGGAUACGGGCAGACUAGAGGUAGGUAGGGGAGAAUGGAAUUCCCGGUGUAGCGGUGAAAUGCGCAGAUAUCGGGAGGAACACCGGUGGCGAAGGCGGUUCUCUGGGCCUUACCUGACGCUGAGGAGCGAAAGCGUGGGGAGCGAACAGG